CUUCCCGACACUACAGCCUUCCGUUAAAUCCGGAUUCUGAGUCCCGGCCUGAGAGAUUGUAACAGGCCGGGAAUGGAAAACAGGUGGAUCUGGGUUUUCAGACAGCGUGAUUCUGGCCGACUGACGAAUUUGGUUAUCCUGUGGGGGGAGCAAUCUUCCGGGUCUCUGGCAGGGGCAGAGUUCUUGCGGGUCAAGGGAUCCCAGAAGUCGCUUUUCUUUGGCGCAAUCCCCGCAGCGACUUCCGGCGUCUCCCGGGCAACCAAGACCGGCCCCGCCCACCCGCCGGGAGCCCCGCCCACCGCCGCCGCGGUUUCUAUGGCGACCCCGGCGCGCGGCGUUCGGAUUCCUUAGGUGGUGAGAGAAACCAGGCGUCUGCCCUGGCGUGCCUCGCCCGACCUUGGAAGCGAGAUUUCUCGUCCAGAACAGAGUCUUUGCGGACUCACCAGUAAUGGGUGCCAAAUUACUAAAACUAUUGAAGCUUUAGUGAAAAAGUAUGGAAACAGAUUAAUGAUUUUUCAUCUCUGCGGCUGCAAAAUCACUUUUGACCUAAGUCACAUAAAAGAAGUUUACAAAGAAGUCAAAAUAUUUCAUGACGUUUCUGAUAUUGCCUGCUAUCGUCUUGUGAAAACAGAAUUUCUAUCAACAAAGACUUUGAAAAUUACUUAGUUAAGUGAACCCCAGAUUUUUUACAAUUAAAGUCGGAAACUUUUUUAGCUUAGUUGAAAAUAGAUAAUCAUGAAAUAAUUGCAUGUGAAAAUAACACAUCUUUAUAUGUUAAACACUUCCCUUAUCCCUCCAACCUUCAAUUCAGGAUGGAGCAAAAAAGCACAGAUUUUUAAGUAUUGGUAUUUUCUUGCUUGUUUGCAUCAUCCAUUUGUAAUAUAUUUAAUUUCUUAUCUGAGAUUAUUAAUGUACAUACUGCAAUUUAUUUUCAGACACUGAGAGAACAGUAUCAUGAAAGAAGGACAAGCCACUUAAUUCUAGAAGGAUUAUCUACUCUUUUAUAUCCCAUAAAUAUUUGGUUGUAUAAACAGUGGCAUUAUAUGCAUAACGUCAAUGCCCAAUGCAGUGCUGAUAUCUGCAGUACUUAUGCCAAGGCAUUGAGAUGGUUUUUAGAUAACCAAUAUAGCACAUAAAUCCUUUCUCAAACUGCAGACGCCACAGCACACUUAGACUACAGUAUCUCCAGAGAAUAUUUCAUGCCAAGGAAGCAGUUAUGCAUUGCCUUAGCUUGUGAGAAUUCAUAUGCAUGUGGAAGAUUACGGAAGAAAAGGCAGAACUGGGGAGAGGAGGAUAAGCCACAGUGCAACACUGGCAACAAGUACCACCACCCAGGGAGGAGGAUUGACUGUCUCAGUUCUACUGAAGAUUUUAUAAGUCAAGUUCUUCUACAUAGAGCGCAAGGAAGUAUCUGUUGUACUAUACAAUGUGCAAGGACUAAUUCCACAGAGGAUACUGUCGCUCCCCCUCUUCGUGGAGGAACGACACAGGACCCUGCCUAGGCUUCAUAUCCGAGUCACGGCACCAUUAUGUCGCUCCCCCUCUUCGUGGAGGAGCGACACUAGACCCUGCCUAGGUUUCCUAUCCAAGUCACGGCACCAUUAUGUCGCUCCCCCUCUUCGUGGAGGAACGACAUAGGACCCUGCGCUGUUCUUUCUGUCUGCUCGGCCCUCCCCGGGUUUGCUGCUGGUUCUUCCCGGGUUGGCUACUAUCCCUUCCACCUCCGUG
Molecule: non-coding RNA, 1728 nt
Organism: Oryctolagus cuniculus (rabbit)
Lineage: Eukaryota; Metazoa; Chordata; Mammalia; Lagomorpha; Leporidae
Source: RefSeq, a predicted model, not a curated record